CGAGAACACUGCACGUUUCAGUCCUCGUUCUGUGUACGCCCCAUUUCUAGUUGGGUUAAUUAUCGUUCGUCCAUCCGCUUACUCUGCCCUUUCGGUUACCUUCCUCUUCUUCUCCUUCUCUUCCUACUCGCUACCUUCGCCGUUACGUUUCACUCCUCUUGUGCGCGAGCGAACCUCCUCAUGUGUGUGCGUUUCUGCGAUUGUUUACUAGCCAUCACAUAGUCCAGUGAAGCG
This 234-nucleotide long non-coding RNA is filed under the name Physcomitrium patens. RNAcentral's name for it is "long non-coding RNA (PPAT_LNC013536)". The record is from RNAcentral. Lineage: Eukaryota; Viridiplantae; Streptophyta; Bryopsida; Funariales; Funariaceae.